GAUUGCCAAUGGAUCUUUAUGAGAUAAUUGUGAAUCUUCCUAGGCCAAGAUGCCUCUCUAAUCAUGACAUGGAUGAGCUCCUCUACUUCCUACCAAACAUUUCCUGUUGCAGGUAGCCAUGAAACCCUAAUUUCUGAUUAAAUCCAUAUGAACACUCUGAUAGCUUUGAAUCUUUCACUGAUGAACUGAGGACCAUAAUAAGAUACUUGGACCCCCCCGAGACCCUUGAGACUUGUAUACUUAGAAAAUGAAGUCCAAUUCUCAAUCUUGCUUUGUAUGGGCUACUUCUGUUAAGGAGUGAUCGAUCAAAACCUGAUCUCCAUAUCACUAAUGCAGUAUGUAAUGAGUAUGACCUAAUAUGAUGCUAAUGAAGUGUAAAACAUAAUCCCAUGCUUCCAGGAAAAAUGAAG
This 410-nucleotide long non-coding RNA is filed under the name Lathyrus oleraceus (garden pea). RNAcentral's name for it is "Pisum sativum (pea) long non-coding RNA (PSAT_LNC025756)". Lineage: Eukaryota; Viridiplantae; Streptophyta; Magnoliopsida; Fabales; Fabaceae. The record is from RNAcentral.